AUGGCGACCUACAGGCAGAGCUGCACGCCAAUGUGUAUUCCUCCAUCAAAUGCUGACCUUGGCAAAGCUGCUAGAGAUAUUUUCAACAAACGAUUGAGUUUUGGCUUGGUGAAACUGGAUGUGAAAACAAAGUCAUGCAGUGGAGUGGAAUUGUCAACAUCUGGUUCAUCUAAUUAAUACAGACACUGGUAAAGUUACUGGGACCUUGGAGACCAAAUAUAAAUGGUGUGAGUAUGGUCUACAUUCAUAGAAAAAUGGAACACUGAUAACACCCUGGGAACAGAAAUUGCAAUCAAAGACAACAUUUGUCAAGGUUUGAAAUUGACAUUUGAUACCACCUUCUCACCAAACACUGGAAAGAAAAGUGGUAAAAUCAAGUCUUCUUACAAGAAGUGUAUAAACCUUGGUUGUGAUAUUGACUUUGAUUUUGCUGGACCUGUAAUCCCCAGUUCAGCUGUCUUUGGCUAUGAGGGCUGGCUUGCUGGUUACCAAAUGACCUUUGAUAGCACCAAGUCAAAGUUGACAAGGAAUAACUUUGCAGUGGGCUACAGGACUGGGGACUUCCAGUUACACACUAACGUUAGUGAUGGGACAGAAUUUGGACGAUCAGUCUAUCAGGAAGUAGGUGAAGAUCUUGACAUUUCAGUAAACCUUGCUUGGACAUCAGGUACCAACUGCACUCAUUUUGGCAUCACCACUAAGUAUCAAUUGGAUCCCACUGCUUCCACCUCUGCAAAAGUCAACAACUCUAGUUUAAUCAAAGUGGGCUAUACUCAGACUCUGAGGCCUGGGGUGAGGCUUACACUGUCUGCUCUGGUAGACAGAGCAUUAAUACUGGAGGCCACAAACUUGGGCUCGCUCUGGAGUUAGAGGCUUAAUCCAGCUGAAGAAACCUCUGGAAAUGGAUUUCAGAAGAUUUGGCCUUAAUAUAUUUCCAUUGUGACCAGCAGGCUUUUUUCCCCCCAAGAAGGUGAUCAAAACAAAGGAUGAUCUAAACAAGAGCUGUAUUUUAAAUAUUUAGACAGUUAUUUGUUAGCUGCUUUCUAGUUGAAUUGGUUAUCUAGUUACCAAUGCUGCAGUCAUGCAGUCAUCUACACAUUAUUUAAAUGUAUUCAGCUGUUAAAUGUGCUACCCACCAAUAACGAAAUAGACCUUUAUAAAAACUGUGCAAUUGUGUGCAUGUUUGUUUUUAUGUUCCUUUCAAUAUUUGAUAUUACUGUUGAAUGAAAUGGAUCAUUGGAUGUUUAAGAUGAGGCUAAAAUUUUUUGUUAAAUUCAACCAUCCUUAGAAAUACUUUUGGUAUCCCAGAACAUUACAAAUUAUGAAUAAAACAAGUAUACAU
Orycteropus afer afer is the source of this 1342-nucleotide non-coding RNA. The record is from RefSeq and is a predicted model, not a curated record. Lineage: Eukaryota; Metazoa; Chordata; Mammalia; Tubulidentata; Orycteropodidae.